AAAAAGAGAAAGAGCGAGAGAGAGAGAGGGGAGGGCUGACUGGCUGGCUGGCUGGCAGACGAUAAGCAGUGCAAAAAAACGCAAGGGAAAAAAAGUGCGGUGCGGACGGCGGGACGGGGGGACGGGGGGACGGCGCGGUGCAAAAUACUUAUGAAAGUAAAAAAAAUUUUGAAAAAUUAUCUCAUCAAAAAGGUGGAAUACUGCCGCCUGCUGUUGCUGCUGCGGCUGCUGUCUCCGGCUUCUUUCUGCUUAAUUACCGCCCGCCGCCACGCUGUAGUUUUUUUCCGCUUUGUUUUGUUCGGUUUUUUGCAACAGGCUUCUGUUUCUUGGUCUUCGUUGGCUUCGUUGACUGAUUUCCGAGUUGAGUUGAGUUGAGUGGAGUGGACUGGAGUGA
Long non-coding RNA from Drosophila pseudoobscura, 394 nucleotides. RefSeq lists it as uncharacterized. NCBI's taxonomy places the organism in Eukaryota, Metazoa, Arthropoda, Insecta, Diptera, Drosophilidae. The record is from RefSeq and is a predicted model, not a curated record. The transcript has 2 exons.